AGUGAACGCUGGCGGUAGGCCUAACACAUGCAAGUCGAACGGCAGCACAGUAAUAGCUUGCUAUUACGGGUGGCGAGUGGCGGACGGGUGAGGAAUACAUCGGAAUCUACUUUUUCGUGGGGGAUAACGUAGGGAAACUUACGCUAAUACCGCAUACGACCUACUGGUGAAAGCAGGGGAUCUUCGGACCUUGCGCGAUUGAAUGAGCCGAUGUCGGAUUAGCUAGUUGGCGGGGUAAAGGCCCACCAAGGCGACGAUCCGUAGCGGGUCUGAGAGGAUGAUCAGCUACCCUAGAACUGAGACACGGUACAGACUCCUACGGGAGGCAGCAGUGGAGAAUAUUAGACAAUGGGAGGAAGGCUGAUCUAGACAUACCGAGUGGGUGGAGAAGGCCUCCGGGUUGUAAAGCCAAUCUGUUGGGAAAGAAAAGCAGCAGGUUCAUAGCGCGCUGUUCUGAAGGUACCGAAAGAAUAAGCACCGGCUAACUUCGUG
RNAcentral lists this ribosomal RNA (492 nucleotides) under uncultured bacterium. Its description in RNAcentral is "partial 16S ribosomal RNA". It matches the Rfam family "Bacterial small subunit ribosomal RNA", at positions 29 to 507 of the family's 1533-position model. The record is from RNAcentral.